RNAcentral lists this small nucleolar RNA (80 nucleotides) under Olea europaea subsp. europaea. RNAcentral's name for it is "Small nucleolar RNA R160". It matches the Rfam family "Small nucleolar RNA R160". Rfam says of the family: snoR160 is a C/D box small nucleolar RNA, which acts as a methylation guide for 25S ribosomal RNA in plants. snoR160 has been alternatively named snoZ270 in rice. The record is from Rfam by way of RNAcentral. Lineage: Eukaryota; Viridiplantae; Streptophyta; Magnoliopsida; Lamiales; Oleaceae.
AGCAAUAUGAUGAAAACUUGUAUAUUCUGAAUUAUAUGUGGAAAUACAUAUUCAAUGGUCUUCAAAGUUCUCUGAUUGCU